Molecule: unclassified non-coding RNA, 276 nt
Filed under: fungal sp.
Lineage: Eukaryota; Fungi
Description: partial internal transcribed spacer region
Rfam family: Eukaryotic small subunit ribosomal RNA (bases 1-46)
Source: RNAcentral
AAGUCGUAACAAGGUUUCCGUAGGUGAACCUGCGGAAGGAUCAUUAAUGAAAGUCUGGGCUUCGGCCCUCUCUCUCUCUUCUACGACACUUGUGAAUCUACCCUGUUGCUUUGGCAGGUCUCCGUCCCUCCAGUGAGUAGUAACCUACUUUGCUGGCAUGGGCGGUUAGACCGGAAGGUGCCUGCCAAAGACAUUUCUCAUCACCCUUUUUCAAUCGUCUGAUUUUUGUUUAUACAAAAUAAAAUAAAACUUUCAACAAUGGAUCUCUUGGCUCUG